RNAcentral lists this unclassified non-coding RNA (6669 nucleotides) under Leishmania donovani. RNAcentral describes it as "gene:LdHU3.11.0880(CDS-product:Nodulin-like/Major _Facilitator_Superfamily_putative)". Lineage: Eukaryota; Euglenozoa; Kinetoplastea; Trypanosomatida; Trypanosomatidae. The record is from RNAcentral.
UUAUCAGCGCUCACCCCACUUCAUCCACCGCCCGCACACCUUCCACCCGUUCUCCAUCCGUGGGAGUGCGUGUCUUCUGCUGCUGUUCUUUGCUCGCACCAGCUCUGUCUCUCUGUUGGCAUUUUCCCCACGCUUACGGACGGUGGUACGCACACCUACUUCGCGACGGAUACACUCGUGCGUGAGUUGAUCUUGACUUUACGUCUUCCUCACGAUUUUUCCCUCGCGCUUUUGUUUCGUCGACUCUUGUGGUGUGAAGGAACUGUGACGUUACUUUUGCUGCGGACCCCGCCUCCCUACGGAGCAGCCGCGGCGACAUCCACGACUGAGUUCACAAGAUCGCCACGCACGCAUACCCAAACUACACGAAGCUCCCCCAAAGCCAGCUAUGCCCCUCAGAGACGAGCCCAGUGACCUCGAACGCGCCGUCGAGGACGACUCGAGCACAGAGUGUAAUGUGCUGAAGCUAGACGUGACCAACCAGCGUCCGAUUAGCGAGGCGCGACGCUACGGCUUACUGACGCUCGCCUCCUUCGCCAUGAUCUGCGCCUCGACAUCGUACGCCUUCAACCUGUUCAGCGGCAGCCUUCGCGACAAGUACAACUUCGACUCGCGCCAGAUGUCCACGAUCAACACGGUGGGCAUGGUGUUCGCCUACUUUCUGUUGCCGUACGGCACGAUAUACGACUACCUUGGCCCGCUGCCGGUGUACAUCCUUGCGUGCGUGCUCGCGUCGCUGGGGCUGCUGCUGAUGGGCCUCACGUUCCAGGGCGUGAUUGCCGGCUCUGUGGUGCGGUUCUGCGUGUUCAACGCGCUGCUGAGCCUUGGCAGUCAGCUGUUCGACCUUGCAACGGUGGUGACGAUGCUGAGCAUCUUCCCGACGCGUCGCGGGUGGGUCGUGGCGCUGCUGAAGACGCUGAUGGGCCUGGGCUCUGCGAUCAUCGGGUCGAUGCGCACGGGCUUCUUCCUGAACACGCCGGCAAACUACUUCUACUUUCUGGUGGGGAUGGUGCUUGUGACCGGGCUGUGCUGCAUUGCGGUGAUGCGGCUGCCGUCGUACCACUUGACGGGCUACCAGCAGAGCCGCCUGAGCGAUGAGCAGAAGGCGGUGCGCGGUGCGCGUGUCGCGGCGUACCUGACGCAGGAGCCGCCGAUGUGGCGCUUCUACCUGAGCAUUGCGGUGGUGCUUGUGCUUGUGGUGUAUCUGCCGACGACGAGCGCGCUGGCGGCGUUCACGAAGGUCGCGAAGACGCAGCACGGCCUGCUUGCCUUCGCGAUCGUGGCCGUGGUCAUCACGAGCUGCUUUCUGCUGAUGCUGGUGCCGUGCCCGUGGCUGGAUCGUUUGACGACGAAGGGGCCGAGGGAUGAUGAGUCGGCGGAGAGCGGUGAGGUGCUGACGGACAUUGACUACAUUGCCCCGCAGUACCAGACAACCUUCCUGCAGAGCUGCUGCACGGUGAGCCUGUGGUGCAUCCUCUGGACGAUGUUCUGCGGCGUUGGCGCCGAGUUCGUGAUCAUCUUCAACGCGUCGCCCAUCUUCUCUGCGCUGACGGAGACGCCGAAGCUGGACACGACGGUGUCUGCGCUGCUGACGGUGCUGAACGGCGCUGGCAGCGCGCUGGGCCGCCUGGCCAUGUCCGUGUUCGAGCACUAUACGCAGAAGCGCAAGGCCGAGGACCGCAUGCCUAUCACCGUCGCCUUCUUUGUGCCGACGACGCUGAUCAUCCUCUCGAUGACGCUGUUCCUGGUACUGCCGGGCCGCUCGCUGCUGGCCGCGUUUGCGCUGGCGUCUCUUGGUAACGGCUUCUGCGCCAGCAUCACCAUUCUCGUCCUGCGCACCAUGUACGCCAAGGACCCCGCGAAGCACUACAACUUUGGCUUCAACGCGCUGUGGAUCGCGGCCAUCCUGCUGAACCGCCUGCUGUACGGCGAGUGGAUUGCGUCUCGGGCCGACAGGCAGGGCCAGAAGGUGUGCGUUGGCCGCGAGUGCGUGAUGAUGCCGCUGCUCGUCAUGAUUGGCAUGAACCUGACGGCGCUUCUCUCGGAUGUGUACCUGCACAUCAGCUACUCCCGCUUCUCACGCAGGGUGCUGGCCGAGCGCCGCCGCCUGCGGGAGGGGGUCGCCGCCGCGGGCAGCUCGGAGCCGAUCUACCCGGAAAAGGAGGUGGCCCGAGGUGAAAGAGUCUACGCACAUGGCUCGGGCAGCAGCGUAGGCGAUUCCCUUGACGCGCAGCAGCAGCGAAAGCCUCGUGGCUAGAGAGAAGAGGUGGUUCCGCGGAUAAAGGCGACUACGAUCAUGGCGGCAUAUGCAGCCGCAUGUUGCGCACGAAGUAGUGUUAGCCUCCAAUACUUCGCGAAGUGUUUUCUUCAUCCAUCGAUCGCCACCUCGCUGCUUUUUUCUACUUUCCAUUCUUUUUUUUUUCGUGCUGCGUCGCAGCCCUUCCCGCUCGCCCGCACCAUGGCCCUCCUUUUCGUUUCGCCUGUGUUCGUCGGUUGAAAGUGUCUUGAGCGUGCCGCGGCCUCGUAGGGCUUCAACCGCCGCUGCCGUCGUCUCCGCGUGUACGCGUUUAUGGGUGCUUGCCUCCGUCUCUCUGUCUGUGCGUGUUGAUGUGUGAAGUAUUGUUGUGCCGAAAGGCCUGAUGGAGCGUGCGCGUGCGAUACUUUCCACACCACACCCACAUACAUGGAUUCGUCGAUGCAAACUCUUUACAAGUGCGCGGUGGCCACCUCGACCCCCGGAGGGCGGAAAAGUGCUGCUGAGACACGUCUCGAGCGCGUGCGGAAGGGGGCGAAAGGUGCGGGGCGGGCGGACGAAGAGGCGGCGAGGAGCGCGCACAUCUAAGCAGAACAGACACGGCGCAAAACUGUCGCGUAUCACGCGGAGGAAGUGAGUGUGAGCAAGCGAUAAAAUGAGGACUCCCAAAAAAAAAGGAGUGAGUGAGAGCGCGUGAGAAAGAGGGCAGUGACGCAAUACAAGCACGUGCAGAAGCCGUGAAUACACAAGAAGGGCGGCAAGGCGAGCGGCGAACCUGCCUGGGCCUCCGAGCCUUUUUCAUCGGCUGGUAGUUUAGCCCCACUCCUGGCUCUCUCCUUCCUUGCCUGUUGUGUGGUCCAGCCCUGCGCGCGUCUCUCUUCGCCUCUUUGGUUUUGUGUGUUUCUUCGUAUGGGCGUGUCUUCCUAUGUUUUUUUGUCUUGUUGUUCGCUUUCUUCUCCGCUUCCGCUCAGCUUUAUGCUCCUCGACUGUGAUGGGGUACUUCAUCGUUGUAUGCGUGUGCAUGUAAGUGGGUGUGUGGGUGUGUGGGUGGGUCUCUCUUUCCUGGUGGGCGUGGCGUGAGCAAGAGAAACACUUGUUUCCUCGGCAAACCGGCCACGUACCUGCACGCACACGCACGACGAAGUGUAACACCCGCGCAUACAGAGGAACGAAAUGAAAAGCAUUUCCUUCGUUAAGUGUUCAUAUAUAUAUAUAUAUAUAUAUAUAUAUAUAUAUAUAUAUAUAUAGUGUGCCGUUGUUUGAGCCAACUAGCCAAACAAGAAGAAUUUAAGCACGUCGCCUCGGCUCGAUUUGCCAUGUUUGCCCUUACUUGGAUAAUCUACAUCGUUUUUCCUUCUCUUUUUCUCUCUCCCUUUCUCCAACCCCCUCUCUCUUUUUUCUAGUGUACGUGUGGUGUGUGUGUGUGUGUGUUGUAUGUGUGCGCUGGCUCUCUCCCACAUUAUAUGCGGGAGCGUUCGGCGUACGCGUAAGUUUUCACGCGUUUACAUAUACAUAAAUACAUAUAUGUGUAUGUAUAUGCAUGUAGCGUUGAACAACGAGAAUGACGCGCACGUAUGCAUCACCAUCACGACCAUCACCACCGCCGAGAGAAGGGGAAAGCGCUUCUGUUGUGUUGCCCAUUUUUUCGUCUUUUUUUAAGUUUGUUUGGAUUUCAUUUUCUUUUUGGUUCUUGAUGUUUCGAUUUUACUUCAUUUUAAUAUUCUUUCCCUGCGUCGACUUCUCCCCUCUCCUUCUCCUCUUGCUUCCCUUGUUGUGUUGUUGUCGUUUUUUUUUUUGCGAGCCGUGCUUCCAUCCAUCCAUCCCUUCCCCACUGGUACACACAAACACAGGCCCUCUUCUGUUUUCCAUUCUUCGCUUCACUAACCGUCCUUUCCUUCUUUGGCAUCUCCAUCGCAGCUUUCUUUUUCGCGUUCCUCCGCCGCGCUCCACACGCAACCAGGGCGUUUCGUCUCCGAACGGACUUUGGCGGUGCUUCAAGAGAGAAAGCGGAGGUGGGGUAACAGAGAAGGAACGGUGCCUUUAUAUAGCACUGCUGUCAUAAUUAACAUUAUCAAACCCCCCUCCCUCCCUCCCUCCCUCCCCCUUAACAACAACGAAACAAACAAAAAAGGAACGAAGCUUGAGUGCAACGAGAGAGAGACCACCUUUCCUUAAAAAAAAACGAGAAGCGAUGUCCCCAAUACGAUCCUGGUUUCAAAAUGCGCUCAUCCUGUUCUGUGAUAACGUUGAUGUAUUUUCCCUAUGGCGCAUGCGUAUGCAGGAAUCUUUCUUUCUCUUUUCUCGUUGCGGUCUUUCACGACUUCCUGCGCGCACACUCUCUCUUGUGCUCCGUCAAUCAAAAAAAGGGAGAGGAAGAGCGCGAGGGCGAGUGAGACACACAAGAAAAGAAGAAAAGCGCGAGUUAUGCGGAGGCAGAGGUCGGACAGGAGGGGCGGCGAUGCUCAGGCGGACGCGCACAUGUACGGAACAUAGCGAAAAAAAAAAUCAAAUCGAGAAAGUGUGGGGCAUGGAGAGAGGGUGUAGCAGGUGCUGCUGCGUGAAGUUGUCGUUUGUGAAUUUAUACAUGUACGGCCCGUAUUAGGGACAAGACACGGAGAGCUUCAACAACCCGAUCUCUGCAAGAAGCAAGGGAUUCUUUGUUUUUGUUCUUGUCUUUGGUCUGUGCACCUGACCAUGUCCUCUCCUCGCAUAAGGGGGCGUGCUCGUUUUUUUUUUUUCGUUGUUCCUUUUCACGUCUCUGUGCUGCAGUGUGCAUCUUCUGUGUGCGCGUGCCCCGCUGAGCCUGUGACGUGUUUGAUCGCAAGCCUUUUCGUCCGUCUUUGAGUUUCCUCGUUUUAAAAUGUUUUUUUUUUUGUUGUUGUUCCUUCAGACGCCACACUCGCAUAUGGGGCCUUGCCCCCCCCCCCCCCCCCCCCUUCCUGUUGUCUUGCAGGGAAAGGUACCGGACAUGUCAUGCACACUGAGGAUGCGAACUCUGUUUUGAGAGAAUCAAAGAAGAACAUUAGUGGCAGCAAAGAAGGAGAGGACCCGACAUGCACAGACGAAUAUGCACACAGACAGAGCCUCAAGACGCGUGGUGCAAGAGCGGCGACCAAGCCCCAUGUGGGCGUAUAGACAAGAAGGCAUACCUCACGUGCAUCACGCACACGCACCCCUCGAAAAAAAAAAUACGAGGAGCUGGACGCCGACACAGAGGAAGGCAGCAGCCUUACUGCCUCCUCGCUCAAACCUCGACAGCGGUGAUCCAUCCAGAAGAGUGAGGGAGCAGAGAGGGCAUACCAGCGCUUUUCUUUGAUUCGCCCGCGAGAUCUGUGUGGCUGUGGUGACGUUAAUGAGGCAGCUGCAAGGACGUAUCCGGCGAAGGAACAGGCAAUCGAAAUCGCUCGCAACAGGGUGUCUUUUUCUUUUGUCCCUCCCCCUGCAUCUGCUUUCCUUCUCUCUCCAUGCAUCAUGGCUUAACCUCGCUUCCCAUUCGUUUAGCGCGCGAACGCACUGUGACUCUUCCUCGCAGUGCGUUUCACCGUCUGCCCUUUGUUGUUCCGUGUGCGUCUUGCUGCUUCUGGCCUUGCCUGUUUGUCUGUCUGUCUCUCGCUGCGCUCGCGCGUGUGAUUCGUCGUUGCCUCCAGCAUAUAUAUAUAUAUAUAUAUUUAUGAUUUUCGCUUCCUUCUCUCUGUCGAUCUUCGCCCCGCUCCUCUUCCAACGCCGCCUUUGGACGUUGUUGUUUCCUCUCGUGCCGGCCACCUGGCCAUCUCUCCCUCUUUUCUCCCCUUUUCUGCCCCCAUCACCUCAUGCAUGCUCGGACCCUGAGCAGCUCUUUCUGCAUAUUUUGUCGUGCUUUAGCGAGCAUGCAUAUUUAUGUGUAUAUAUAUAUAUAUAUACAUGUGCAUGCGUGCUCUGUUCUGGUGCUUUCUCCGUCUCGUUAUCUUCGGCUUUUUUUUCGAAACGACACACACACACACACACACGCGAAUAAGAAAGAGGGCGUUUUCCGCGUACAUCUUUGCUUGUUUCACGUGUGUUCUUUUUUUUUUCGGUUUCCCGUCCUCUGUUCUUGUGUCGAUGCCUGAUAAAACGGCACACCCACAACCGCCCCUGUACGCAUACGCGCAUGCGCAUAUAUAUAUAUAUAUAUAUGUACGUGGGUGGCCAUGGAGGCAUGUGUGCUUGUGUCUCCACGUAUGCGGUACUUGUGCGCGUGAGCGUGUGCUCAGCAACGAACGAGGGAGCGAGAUAUGCGUUUCUUUAUUUGUCUGUUUCGUUUUAUUUUUUCACGAUGGUCACUCCAUAUCCGCUUCCAUCCGAAAAGCGAUCAUAAUCAUUCUCUCUCUGUGUUCUGCGCAUCUGCCCUUCUUCCCACCCUCAGUAUUCCACUAGCUGCAGAAAGAAGCACAAAG